CUUUUUUGUUUAUUCAUUGGGCCUUAUAGAUUCCAGUGAAAUAAUGUGCGUGACAUAGAUGGACAUGUGUGCACUUGUCGUGAUACAGUAGAGAAGAAAUUUCACUUGGUUUAUUUUUAGGUCGGAGUUGGCCGGUGGUGGCUACAGAAGCCUCAUUUGAGUUUUCAGCUAACAUUACUAACUAAAGUGGUGGGCAAGCACAGACAUAACAUUGUUUUCAUGUGCUCCUAUCGUGUACCGGAUUGAAUGUCGUGAACGUUGUGAGCGCAUGCACACAGUGUCGGGGUUCAGAAGACGAGACGGACACUGAGAGGCAAAGCACAGUAGCGAUCAGCUCAGUGUCCGGUUUGCCGGUGUCGCAACACCAGUUAUACAAACUCUAGUUAACAGAUGCUUCUGAAUUCGUCACAUACAGCCGUUAUCUUGUUCGUUGAGCUUUGAAAAGGUGAAUGAUGAGUUCUUGAGGAUCACCACAAAGCCGUUGCAAUCGAAGUUCCUGGCCCAGCUGGACCACUUCUCAGAAGCUUCUCUAAAUAUUCCAAAACAGAGGAGUGAAGGGACAGAAGAUAAAGAACAUCCUGGCAAUAAAAGAUGCGUGUGACGACAUCAACAUCAGGAGGGAGUGUAUCCUCAAAAGCCUUGUUGUCUACCUCAGUGGGGAUCCAAACUCUCUCUUCAAGGAGUACCUUCCCUCUGUUGCUGAGGAUGCUGAGAAUGACACUACAGUUAUGGGCAUUUACACGUUCUGAAGAAAUGAGUUUGGUGAGCCUGACGACGUGGGGGUUGUCAUUGAAGGUGUGAAAGUCCUCUCCAUUGUGGAAAAUGUCAUACUGGCUUUCAUCUUACUGUUUGGGCUAAUCUAUGCUCUAGUUCUCGGUUACCCAGACAACCUGAAAUACACAUUUGAGUUUGUGCAGAAAAUCCUUAUGAAUCUGAAUGGACACAAGGUUAACACCAAAAUACAGCAACUGAAAAUCAAGCUGUUCAUGUAAAAGGAGACACAGGUGACAAAUGACAGUGGGACUGGGAAUUUAUUGUUGUUUUGUUUUUGUUUUUAUCUGAACUGAACCUGGGGUCCGUUUCACAAAGCAGGUUUAGUGAAAAC
Molecule: long non-coding RNA, 1105 nt
Organism: Thunnus maccoyii (southern bluefin tuna)
Lineage: Eukaryota; Metazoa; Chordata; Actinopteri; Scombriformes; Scombridae
Exons: 4
Source: RefSeq, a predicted model, not a curated record